UACGGAGGAUGCAAGCGUUAUCCGGAUUUAUUGGGCGUAAAGCGUCCGCAGGUGGCUCUUCAAGUCUGCUGUCAAAGCGCGGAGCUUAACUCCGUAAAGGCGGUGGAAACUGGGGAGCUAGAGUCUGGUAGGGGUCACGGGAAUUCCCAGUGUAGCGGUGAAAUGCGUAGAUAUUGGGAAGAACACCAGCGGCGAAAGCGCGUGACUGGGCCGGAACUGACACUGAGGGACGAAAGCUAGGGGAGCGAAAGGG
This 253-nucleotide ribosomal RNA is filed under the name uncultured prokaryote. RNAcentral describes it as "partial 16S ribosomal RNA". It matches the Rfam family "Bacterial small subunit ribosomal RNA", at positions 524 to 776 of the family's 1533-position model. The record is from RNAcentral.